UUGGAGGGCAAGUCUGGUGCCCGCAGCCGCGGUAAUUCCAGCUCCAAUAGCGUAUAUUAAAGUUGUUGCAGUUAAAAAGCUCGUAGUUGAAUUUCGGGGUUAGUAGGUUGGUCAUGCCUCUGGUAUGUACUGGUCUCACUGAUUCCUCCUUCCUGAUGAGCCGUAAUGCCAUUAAUUUGGUGUUGCGGGGAAUUUGGACUGUUACUUUGAAAAAAUUAGAGUGUUUAAAGCAAGCUAACGCUUGAAUACAUUAGCAUGGAAUAAUGAAAUAGGACGUUCGAUCCUAUUUUGUUGGUUUCUAGGAUUGACGUAAUGAUUAAUAGGGAUAGUUGGGGGCAUUAGUAUUCAAUUGUCAGAGGUGAAAUUCUUGGAUUUAUUGAAGACUAACUACUGCGAAAGCAUUUGCCAAGGAUGUUUUCAUUAAUCAAGAACGAAAGUUAGGGGAUCGAAGACGAUCAGAUACCGUCGUAGUCUUAACCAUAAACUACGCCGACUAGGGAUCGGAUGAUGUUAAUUUUUUAAUGACUCAUUCGGCGCCUUACGGGAAACCAAAGUGUUUGGGUUC
Molecule: ribosomal RNA, 565 nt
Filed under: uncultured Glomeromycotina
Lineage: Eukaryota; Fungi; Glomeromycota
Description: SSU rRNA
Rfam family: Eukaryotic small subunit ribosomal RNA
Source: RNAcentral